This 497-nucleotide ribosomal RNA is filed under the name uncultured bacterium. RNAcentral describes it as "partial 16S ribosomal RNA". It matches the Rfam family "Bacterial small subunit ribosomal RNA", at positions 28 to 507 of the family's 1533-position model. The record is from RNAcentral.
GAUGAACGCUGGCGGCGUGCCUAAUACAUGCAAGUCGAGCGAACGGACGAUAAGCUUGCUUCUCUGAUGUUAGCGGCGGACGUGUGAGUCACACGUGGAUAACCUACCUAUCAGACUGGGAUAACUUCGGGAAACCGGAUCUAAUACCGGAUAAUAUUUUGAUCCGCAUUGUUCAAAAGUGAAAGACGGUCUUUCUGUCACUUAUAGAUGGAUCCGCGCUGCAUUAGCUAGUUGUUAAGGUAACGGCUUACCAAGGCAACGAUGCAUAGCCGACCUGAGAGGGUGAUAGGCCACACUGGAACUGAGACACGGACAAGACGACUAAGGGAGGCAGCAGUAGGGAAUCUUCCGCAAUGGGCGAAAGCAUGACGGAGCAACGCCGAGUGAGUGAUGAAGGUCUUCGGAUCGUAAAAAUCGGUUAUUAGGGAAGAACAUAUGUGUAAGUAACUGUGCACAGAUUGACGGUAACUAAUCAGAAAGCCACGGCUAACUACGUG